Molecule: ribosomal RNA, 236 nt
Filed under: uncultured bacterium
Lineage: Bacteria
Description: partial 16S ribosomal RNA
Rfam family: Bacterial small subunit ribosomal RNA
Source: RNAcentral
CGCGUGGGAAACCUGCCCUCGAGACGGGGAUAACACUUCUAACGAGGUGCUAAUACCGGAUAAGACCACAGGUCCGCAUGGUCCAGUGGUCAAAGGUGGCCUCUACUUGUAAGCUACCACUUGAGGAUGGUCCCGCGUCCCAUUAGCUUGUUGGCGGGGUAAGAGCCCACCAAGGUGACGAUGGGUAGCUGGUCUGAGAGGAUGGUCAGCCACACUGGGACUGAGAUACGGCCCAG